UUGGUUUCGAUCAAUUUUUCCAGGGGAGACCAUACAUCGAACCAGAAGGAGGUGGAGGAACCGGUAAACCGAUCUGUAACUUAGUAAGAGUUUCCACGAGAGGACGCAACUUCAAUAAUUUUUUUCCACAUCCAGAAUCCUUUCACUUACACUCAACAACGAACCUUUGCGAAUUAAAUAUCUUUCAAUCCAUUUGACCCAUAAGACAGUGCGAGAAUCCAUAUGAGCUUUAGCUUUAGAAAACAAACAGUAUUUGCUUCAGUCAAGGAUUUCAAUCCUCGACCACCCUCAUUUAUCAGUUUACAUACUUCAGACCAAGCAAACUUUGCCUUUCUUGGAUUCAACUCCGGCCCCGACCAAAGAAACUCUGAGCAUAAGUUAUCAAUCU
Molecule: long non-coding RNA, 388 nt
Filed under: Brassica napus (rape)
Lineage: Eukaryota; Viridiplantae; Streptophyta; Magnoliopsida; Brassicales; Brassicaceae
Description: long non-coding RNA (BNAP_LNC020242)
Source: RNAcentral